CAGGACGAACGCUGGCGGCGUGCUUAACACAUGCAAGUCGAACGGAGUUAAGCGCUGAAUGAAGCUUCGGCAGAUUCUUGCUUAACUAGUGGCGGACGGGUGAGUAACGCGUGAGUAACCUGCCCUCGAGUGGGGAAUAACGUUCUGAAAAAGAACGCUAAUACCGCAUAACAUACAGGAGCCGCAUGACUCUUGUAUCAAAGAUUUAUUGCUCGAGGAUGGACUCGCGUCCGAUUAGCUAGUUGGUGAGGUAACGGCCCACCAAGGCGACGAUCGGUAGCCGGACUGAGAGGUUGAACGGCCACAUUGGGACUGAGACACGGCCCAGACUCCUACGGGAGGCAGCAGUGGGGGAUAUUGCGCAAUGGGGGAAACCCUGACGCAGCAACGCCGCGUGGAGGAUGACGGUUUUCGGAUUGUAAACUCCUUUUAUAAGGGACGAACUAAGACGGUACCUUAUGAAUAAGCUCCGGCUAACUACGUGCCAGCCGCCGC
This 495-nucleotide ribosomal RNA is filed under the name uncultured bacterium. RNAcentral describes it as "bacterial SSU rRNA". It matches the Rfam family "Bacterial small subunit ribosomal RNA", at positions 25 to 518 of the family's 1533-position model. The record is from RNAcentral.